UUUAAUGAGAGUUUGAUCCUGGCUCAGGACGAACGCUGGCGGCGUGCCUAAUACAUGCAAGUGGAACGCAUGAUUGAUACCGGAGCUUGCUCCACCAUUAAUCAUGAGUCGCGAACGGGUGAGUAACGCGUAGGUAACCUACCUCAUAGCGGGGGAUAACUAUUGGAAACGAUAGCUAAUACCGCAUAACAGUAUUUAUCACAUGGUAAAUGCUUGAAAGGAGCAAUUGCUUCACUAUGAGAUGGACCUGCGUUGUAUUAGCUAGUUGGUGGGGUAACGGCUCACCAAGGCAUCGAUACAUAGCCGACCUGAGAGGGUGAUCGGCCACACUGGGACUGAGACACGGCCCAGACUCCUACGGGAGGCAGCAGUAGGGAAUCUUCGGCAAUGGGGGGAACCCUGACCGAGCAACGCCGCGUGAGUGAAGAAGGUUUUCGGAUCGUAAAGCUCUGUUGUAAGAGAAGAACGUGUGUGAGAGUGGAAA
This 484-nucleotide ribosomal RNA is filed under the name Streptococcus suis. Its description in RNAcentral is "bacterial SSU rRNA". It matches the Rfam family "Bacterial small subunit ribosomal RNA", at positions 1 to 464 of the family's 1533-position model. Lineage: Bacteria; Bacillati; Bacillota; Bacilli; Lactobacillales; Streptococcaceae. The record is from RNAcentral.